Molecule: ribosomal RNA, 457 nt
Filed under: uncultured bacterium
Lineage: Bacteria
Description: bacterial SSU rRNA
Rfam family: Bacterial small subunit ribosomal RNA
Source: RNAcentral
UACGGGAGGCAGCAGUGGGGAAUAUUGCACAAUGGGCGCAAGCCUGAUGCAGCCAUGCCGCGUGUAUGAAGAAGGCCUUCGGGUUGUAAAGUACUUUCAGUCGUGAGGAAGGUGUUAAGGUUAAUAACCUUAGCAAUUGACGUUAGCGACAGAAGAAGCACCGGCUAACUCCGUGCCAGCAGCCGCGGUAAUACGGAGGGUGCGAGCGUUAAUCGGAAUUACUGGGCGUAAAGGGCACGCAGGCGGUUAAUUAAGUUGGAUGUGAAAUCCCCGGGCUUAACCUGGGAAUGGCAUUCAAGACUGGUUAGCUAGAGUCUUGUAGAGGGGGUAGGAAUUCCAUGUGUAGCGGUGAAAUGCGUAGAGAUGUGGAGGAAUACCGGUGGCGAAAGGCGGCCCCCUGGACAAAGGACUGACGCUCAUGUGCGAAAGCGUGGGGAGCAAACAGGGAUUAGAUACC